This 225-nucleotide unclassified non-coding RNA is filed under the name Glomus sp. RNAcentral's name for it is "partial contains 5.8S ribosomal RNA and internal transcribed spacer 2". The stretch from base 1 to 71 matches the Rfam family "5.8S ribosomal RNA", at positions 84 to 154 of the family's 154-position model. Lineage: Eukaryota; Fungi; Glomeromycota; Glomeromycetes; Glomerales; Glomeraceae. The record is from RNAcentral.
GUGAAUCAUCAAAUUUUUGAACGCAAAUUGCACUUUCUGGUAUUCCGGAAAGUAUGCCUGUUUGAGGGUCAGUUAAAUAAAAAUCGGUGUUGUUGCUGCUUUUCGUGGUGACGCGUCGGAAUUGAGUUGUCUUACCUUCGGUUAAGUGACUUAAAAUUUUGCAUGAUUUUCGAACGUAUUAAAUUUCUUAAGUACGGUUGAGAUUAUGGAUAACUUUUUUGGUUU